AACGAACGCUGGCGGCAGGCUUAACACAUGCAAGUCGAGCGCCCCGCAAGGGGAGCGGCAGACGGGUGAGUAACGCGUGGGAAUCUACCGUGCCCUACGGAAUAGCUCCGGGAAACUGGAAUUAAUACCGUAUACGCCCUACGGGGGAAAGAUUUAUCGGGGUAUGAUGAGCCCGCGUUGGAUUAGCUAGUUGGUGGGGUAAAGGCCUACCAAGGCGACGAUCCAUAGCUGGUCUGAGAGGAUGAUCAGCCACAUUGGGACUGAGACACGGCCCAAACUCCUACGGGAGGCAGCAGUGGGGAAUAUUGGACAAUGGGCGCAAGCCUGAUCCAGCCAUGCCGCGUGAGUGAUGAAGGUCUUAGGAUUGUAAAGCUCUUUCACCGGUGAAGAUAAUGACGGUAACCGGAGAAGAAGCCCCGGCUAACUUCGUGCCAGCAGCCGCCGCGG
This 447-nucleotide ribosomal RNA is filed under the name uncultured bacterium. RNAcentral describes it as "partial 16S ribosomal RNA". It matches the Rfam family "Bacterial small subunit ribosomal RNA", at positions 29 to 523 of the family's 1533-position model. The record is from RNAcentral.